RNAcentral lists this ribosomal RNA (303 nucleotides) under uncultured bacterium. Its description in RNAcentral is "partial 16S ribosomal RNA". It matches the Rfam family "Bacterial small subunit ribosomal RNA", at positions 507 to 809 of the family's 1533-position model. The record is from RNAcentral.
AGCAGUAGCCGCGGUAAUACGUAGGUGGCAAGCGUUGUCCGGAAUUAUUGGGCGUAAAGGGCUCGCAGGCGGUUUCUUAAGUCUGAUGUGAAAGCCCCCGGCUCAACCGGGGAGGGUCAUUGGAAACUGGGAAACUUGAGUGCAGAAGAGGAGAGUGGAAUUCCACGUGUAGCGGUGAAAUGCGUAGAGAUGUGGAGGAACACCAGUGGCGAAGGCGACUCUCUGGUCUGUAACUGACGCUGAGGAGCGAAAGCGUGGGGAGCGAACAGGAUUAGAUACCCGUGUAGUCCCUGUCUCUUAUAU